AACCUGUUUGUUUAUUUUAAAGGCUUCAUUAAGGGUUGAUAAUGUACCAUUGUAUGGGGCAAUUUUGAGUCUGCUAAGGCAAUAUCCUUAUGCAUGAACAUUUCCCAGACUUCCCAUGAAGCUGUUGAGAACCUAGACAAUUGAUUCAGCAGUUGUGAUAAAUAAAAACUAUUCACUUAAGUCUCCUUUACUUCAUAACAUAGUUACUGACAUGAUAGGCAGCUCUCAGCUUGGGGAAAGAUAAUGAGAUUUAGAUACUAGUACAUGGACUUAAAGUGGCUGAAACAAAUUGGCCGACAUCUUAAACUGACAACCCUACCUUCCUCUGUAUCUUUCAGGAUUGUUCAACUAAAGUUUAUUUUUCCAAAAAAAAAAUGUAUUUCACAUUAUUGUACUUAACUUGUCAGUGUUCCAGAUGUAUCUUAGCUAAAACUAAAACUAGUGAAUGCCCUAACUUUAGAUGGUUUUUGAAGCCUAUACAUUUGGUAUUAUUUGGCCCUUAAGCUUUUCCAUCUCUUAGCAUGGAGGAUGAAGAAAGCUGUACAUUGUUGCUUGAGAGUCUGUACACCAGAUUUGUAUUUGCACUGUCAGUAUGGCAAAUGAGUGAAAAGAUGUUAAUACACUAUUUGGAUUUUU
This is a long non-coding RNA of Jaculus jaculus (lesser Egyptian jerboa), 636 nucleotides long. RefSeq lists it as uncharacterized. The record is from RefSeq and is a predicted model, not a curated record. NCBI's taxonomy places the organism in Eukaryota, Metazoa, Chordata, Mammalia, Rodentia, Dipodidae. The transcript has 2 exons.